RNAcentral lists this ribosomal RNA (253 nucleotides) under uncultured bacterium. RNAcentral's name for it is "partial 16S ribosomal RNA". It matches the Rfam family "Bacterial small subunit ribosomal RNA", at positions 524 to 776 of the family's 1533-position model. The record is from RNAcentral.
UACAGAGGAUGCAAGCGUUAUCCGGAAUGAUUGGGCGUAAAGCGUCUGUAGGUGGCUUUUUAAGUCCGCCGUCAAAUCCCAGGGCUCAACUCUGGACAGGCGGUGGAAACUACCAAGCUGGAGUACGGUAGGGGCAGAGGGAAUUUCCGGUGGAGCGGUGAAAUGCGUAGAGAUUGGGAAGAACAUCAGUGGCGAAAGCGCUCUACUGGACCUUAUCUGACAUUGAGGGACGAAAGCUAGGGGAGCGAAUGGG